CCUACGGGCGGCAGCAGUGAGGAAUAUUGGUCAAUGGGCGAAAGCCUGAACCAGCCAAGCCGCGUGAGGGAUGACGGUCCUAUGGAUUGUAAACCUCUUUUAUAAGGGAAUAAAGUGUGGGACGUGUCCUAUUUUGUAUGUACCUUAUGAAUAAGGAUCGGCUAACUCCGUGCCAGCAGCCGCGGUAAUACGGAGGAUCCGAGCGUUAUCCGGAUUUAUUGGGUUUAAAGGGUGCGUAGGCGGCCUCUUAAGUCAGGGGUGAAAGUGUGUGGCUCAACCGUAGAAUUGCCGUUGACACUGGGGGGCUUGAGUAUGGUUGAGGCAGGCGGAAUGCGUGGUGUAGCGGUGAAAUGCUUAGAUAUCACGCAGAACCCCGAUUGCGAAGGCAGCUUGCCAAGCCAUGACUGACGCUGAUGCACGAAAGCGUGGGGAUCAAACAGGAUUAGAUACCCGUGUAGUC
Molecule: ribosomal RNA, 460 nt
Filed under: uncultured bacterium
Lineage: Bacteria
Description: partial 16S ribosomal RNA
Rfam family: Bacterial small subunit ribosomal RNA
Source: RNAcentral